RNAcentral lists this ribosomal RNA (467 nucleotides) under uncultured bacterium. Its description in RNAcentral is "partial 16S ribosomal RNA". It matches the Rfam family "Bacterial small subunit ribosomal RNA", at positions 28 to 506 of the family's 1533-position model. The record is from RNAcentral.
GACGAACGCUGGCGGCGUGCUUAACACAUGCAAGUCGAACGGAAAGGCCCUGCUCUUGUGGGGUGCUCGAGUGGCGAACGGGUGAGUAACACGUGAGUAACCUGCCCUUGACUUUGGGAUAACUUCAGGAAACUGGGGCUAAUACCGGAUAGGAGCUCCUGCUGCAUGGUGGGGGUUGGAAAGUUUCGGCGGUUGGGGAUGGACUCGCGGCUUAUCAGCUUGUUGGUGGGGUAGUGGCUUACCAAGGCUUUGACGGGUAGCCGGCCUGAGAGGGUGACCGGCCACAUUGGGACUGAGGUACGGCCCAGACUCCUACGGGAGGCAACAGUGGGGAAUAUUGCACAAUGGGCGGAAGCCGGAUGCAGCAACGCCGCGUGCGGGAUGACGGCCUUCGGGUUGUAAACCGCUUUCGCCUGUGACGAAGCGUGAGUGACGGUAAUGGGUAAAGAAGCACCGGCUAACUACGU